RNAcentral lists this ribosomal RNA (253 nucleotides) under uncultured bacterium. RNAcentral's name for it is "partial 16S ribosomal RNA". It matches the Rfam family "Bacterial small subunit ribosomal RNA", at positions 524 to 776 of the family's 1533-position model. The record is from RNAcentral.
GACGGAGGAUGCAAGCGUUAUCCGGAAUGAUUGGGCGUAAAGCGUCCGCAGGUGGCAGUUCAAGUCUGCUGUCAAAGACCGGGGCUUAACUUCGGAAAGGCAGUGGAAACUGAACAGCUAGAGUAUGGUAGGUGCAGAGGGAAUUCCUGGUGUAGCGGUGAAAUGCGUAGAGAUCAGGAAGAACAUCGGUGGCGAAGGCGCUCUGCUGGACCAUAACUGACACUCAGGGACGAAAGCUAGGGGAGCGAAUGGG